UAACUUCUACUAGGGUUUCCGGACACGUUUGUUUUUGAGACUAUAUAUAUGGUCUAACCCUUCUUCGUCCUGAUGAAAUCACUAGAACGAGCAGCUCGCCAGGGAUGAGACCCGGCCGCCGCUGGGAUCGUCGCAGCCCUGAGUAGCCGCCUUUAGUUUCAUCAACCUCAGGUUUCCACUGGUGCAGGAUCGGAGAUUGAUUUUGGAGCAGGAGUGAUUGAGGAGUUGUGCUGUUUUUCUGUUCUCACUCUCUUCUUCCUCUUUCCAAACAUCAUCAAGGACUUCAGAUCUCUAAUACUCCGUAGAUUUUGCUCAAAGCUUUUUUCCACUCGUUGUUUUCAACUUGAAAAGUUUUUUUUUUCCUCCUAGAUUUAUCUUUUUUGGGUAAAUAAACCCUAUUUUCUCUUCAUAACAAAAAAAGAAACAAUUUUAGUUUAUCGCAAUUCAUUAUAGAUUAUAGCCAAGGCAGUAAACUGAUCUUUCUUAGUCCACCUCUCAGACGGAAAAUUCUUGUUUCCACUUAGUUGUGGAGACGCCAAAAAUUGUAGGAAUUAAACCUCGUCAAUAUUGGGACUUGGAGUAAAGUGAUUGCACCAUCUCUGUUUUUGCACCAGUGUGAACAAAUAUUACCUGAUUGAGAGCAGAGGUAAGAACUAAAUCCAAGUGACUUAUGAUGGAAACAUAGUAGAUCAUUGAUAAAGAGAAAAAUAACUAGGGCUUUUAUUGGCAGAUCUUUUAGAAUUGACUGAUUAUUUGAUGAAGACGAAUCUCAGAAAAUAAAUAAUAGUUUUGUGUUUCAAAAAUUCAAUACCAUGAUUGAAUCAUUAGUUCUAGAAACCUUUCAAGUUGUGACUGGAGAAGGUACAUGUCCUUGGUGUGUCUGGAAAGAUGAGGCAGACUGGUUGAGUAUUUGUAAAUUAACCACAGAAGUAGUGAUGUCAAGCAAGGCAGCAGCAGUAUGGAAGUUCUCUUUCUUGCUUACGGAACACACAAUCUAGUUUAAUCUGUAACAUUUUAUUCUUUGUGAAAGUCAGGUGCAAUUUCAUGGUUCAUCAAAAGAAAGGUGAGUACUUCAAGUCAUCUUGAUCUUGUUCUCCAUAGUCAUUUGGUCUUUUGCGAUUAAGAUCAAUCAUAGCAUACAUCUCUGCUUUGCUUACUGCUUGGUGUGCAUGCAAGACCAGGGGCUCUAUUGCGAAACAUUUUGCCCGUUUGGAUGCACUCAGUUUUGUUAAUGCAAUUUGUUGGAAUUUUUGUCCUGCACAUGAAUGUUUCUUCUUUCAUCUGAGCCUACAUGUAAGUGCAAAUGGAUUUAUGAUUAUAUUCACAUUUCCAACUCCCCCAAAGAGUUGAUUUGGUCUUUUGCUAUUAAGAUACCGACAUACGACACAACAUCUGAUUUAGUUGGGAAUGGAUUAUGGCACUAUCUGAGGAAAUUCCAAAUUUGGCCGGAGGCCUGAAUCGUGCAGUUGGAUAUAUUUUCCCCUUUUCCUGUUUCUUUUCUUGCCAAAGUUAGUUUGAUAUUGACUUAAGUAUCGGAAGGACCUUCGUUGUUUAUCCAACGCCAUCUAACUUGUUUCUUUCUCGUUACUAGGGUUGCAUUAUUCUCAUUCAAGCUAUAAGUUGACGGUGCUGAAAAUUCCGUUAAGUAUGGAGUAAAAACUACUAGUACAUUGGAUGUACUUACUCUAUGAGGACCAAAAUCAGCUAAUAUCGUGAGAGACUACUGUUCAAGAUUUGUUGUUUGUUCAUUCAAUGUCGUCCAGCCCAUUGGAAGCAAUGGCAGAGUUUGGUUUUCUUCUUACCACAAAAAGUGAGUAAUUCUUCAAGUUGGAUGUAGAAAACAGGGGAUCUGCAAUUUGGAUUUUGGUUUUUGGUGUCAAACUGUAAUGAUUUUAAUACAGAGCGAAGGGGCAACUCUGGAUAUGUUUCAUUUCAUUUUCUUUUUUCAUGUAAUUUGUACUGGCUGUUAGAGCACACUUAAUUUGAUUAUGUAAUUUAAAUUUU
Sesamum indicum (sesame) is the source of this 2004-nucleotide long non-coding RNA. RefSeq lists it as uncharacterized. NCBI's taxonomy places the organism in Eukaryota, Viridiplantae, Streptophyta, Magnoliopsida, Lamiales, Pedaliaceae. The record is from RefSeq and is a predicted model, not a curated record.